AGCCCGUGUCUCUUGUCUCUCCUCUAUUUUUUUCACUGCAGUAUACAAUCUACUAACGACUCCUUUAUUAUCGUUGCUCUAUGAGCUCUCAAUCUCAGAUGGUGAGUUGAUCAUUUUUUUUUCUUUUAAAAGGAUUUGACCUAUUUAGAAGGUGUUAAUAUUUUUCCUAUCUUAUACCUCCACCAGGCGUGGUUAAGGAAAUGGGGUGAGUUCAUUUUAAGUUAUGCAAUAUUUAGUGGCAAAUCUUGAGAACGAAAAUAAAAAAAAUAGUCACUUGAAGAAGAUUGUACAACUAAAAUAAUCGCUCUAUGUCUAUAUAUCAAGCGCCUUGUUCAUGAUUUAUGCAUUUCUAAACAUGGUCCUCUGAUGCCUUAAUUCAUCAAAUUAUACAUGUCACUACAAAAAAAA
This 408-nucleotide long non-coding RNA is filed under the name Sorghum bicolor (sorghum). Its description in RNAcentral is "long non-coding RNA (SBIC_LNC002039)". Lineage: Eukaryota; Viridiplantae; Streptophyta; Magnoliopsida; Poales; Poaceae. The record is from RNAcentral.